AUUCUGACCCUGAGAGCACCUGGCAGGUAUGUGGAAAAAAGAAAUGUGCAUUAAAACAGACCAGGUUACAUCACAAUUUUUAAAAUUUCACUGUGGAAAAAGUUACAAAUGAAUGUAAACUUACUAGAAGUUAGAAAGAUAUAAUACUUCCAAGCCAGACACAGAGGAAAAUACAUCUAUUUCCUAUCACUAAAUACUUACAAGAAGAAAAAGAUAAAGAAAAAGAAAGAGCCAAUGGAUGUAGGAAGCUUUGGGGCCUCUCCUCUGCAGCUUAUCUGAGAGAUACUGCUUCCCGCAAACAGUUUGCCUCUGUGAUUCCUUAUUCACCUCUACCUUUUCCAUGAGAUUGAGAACACUAUAAGAAAGCCUAAAAAUGCUAUGGUUGCACAUACAGAAAAAUCCAAGACCUCAGAGACUUCCUCCCAUCACUCUUUGAUGUAACUGAUUUCUCCCCAUCAGUAUCCUGAUCAUCUGGUUCCUUCAUUUCCUCUGAUCCAAGGAUGACCCACCAGCAGGAGGGUGCAACUACCACCAGAGACCUCUGACCUCUUCAAGACAGCUAAUUAUAAUCACAGGUUCUCUUUCUCUAGGUAAAUUGUCAUUGUGGUGCACUUUGGUUUUCCAGAGGUCCACCACCAAAGUUCAUCUUUUCCCCAAAUGCUUCAUCAUUAAAAUUAACCUUCUGCUAUCCUA
RNAcentral lists this non-coding RNA (693 nucleotides) under Pongo abelii (Sumatran orangutan). The record is from RNAcentral. Lineage: Eukaryota; Metazoa; Chordata; Mammalia; Primates; Hominidae.